Octopus sinensis (East Asian common octopus) is the source of this 310-nucleotide long non-coding RNA. RefSeq lists it as uncharacterized. The transcript has 2 exons. The record is from RefSeq and is a predicted model, not a curated record. Lineage: Eukaryota; Metazoa; Mollusca; Cephalopoda; Octopoda; Octopodidae.
AAUGCGGUUAUUUUACCUAUGAUGAUCCAAUCCUAAGCUAUAUUUGAAUAUAGAAAUAAUUGAAACAAAACAAUUAAUCUCUUUAAGUGUUCAAAGUCAACUGCGGCGCAAUAUCUCCCAAGUUUUGAACAAAUUCCAGGCAUUGCUCAACAUGAAUUUGCUUGAUGAAAGUUCAAGUACUGGUAAUGGAACAGAGGAUAGAACAGCAGAAACAAACUUUUGAGUGAAAAUUGAAACAGAGCCUCCAAGAAUCGUCUUUGAUGAUAUUUUAUGCUAUAAAACGAUAUUUUCUGCAUAUAUAAUACAAAAA